CCUACGGGAGGCAGCAGUGGGGAAUAUUGCACAAUGGGCGCAAGCCUGAUGCAGCCAUGCCGCGUGUAUGAAGAAGGCCUUCGGGUUGUAAAGUACUUUCAGCGAGGAGGAAGGCAUUGUGGUCAAUAACCACAGUGAUUGACGUUACUCGCAGAAGAAGCACCGGCUAACUCCGUGCCAGCAGCCGCGGUAAU
RNAcentral lists this ribosomal RNA (194 nucleotides) under uncultured Enterobacter sp. RNAcentral describes it as "partial 16S ribosomal RNA". It matches the Rfam family "Bacterial small subunit ribosomal RNA", at positions 338 to 524 of the family's 1533-position model. Lineage: Bacteria; Pseudomonadati; Pseudomonadota; Gammaproteobacteria; Enterobacterales; Enterobacteriaceae. The record is from RNAcentral.